GUGCACCAGGCGAGAAACCUUCGCAAUGCGGGAAACCGCGACGAGGGGACUCCCAGUGCCUACGCUCAGCGUAGGCUGUUCCCGAGCCUAGAAAGCUCGGGGAGUAAGGGCUGGGUAAGACGGGUGCCAGCCGCCGCGGUAAUACCCGCAGCCCGAGUGGUGGCCACUAUUAUUGGGCCUAAAGCGUCCGUAGCCGGCCCGGUAAAUGCCUGGGUAAAUCGUGAGGCCUAACCUCACGAAUUCCGGGUAGACUGCCGGGCUAGGGGACCGGAGGAGGGAGAGGGGUACUCCAGGGGUAGGGGUGAAAUCCUGUAAUCCCUGGAGGACCACCGGUGGCGAAGGCGCUCUCCUAGGACGGGUCCGACGGUGAGGGACGAAAGCCAGGGGAGCGAACCGGAUUAGAUACCCCUGUAGU
RNAcentral lists this ribosomal RNA (415 nucleotides) under uncultured microorganism. Its description in RNAcentral is "bacterial SSU rRNA". It matches the Rfam family "Archaeal small subunit ribosomal RNA", at positions 330 to 745 of the family's 1478-position model. The record is from RNAcentral.